ACACUAAACACGAUGGUAGAAUUUUAUGGUCAAUACUAUCAUCAAAGUAUAGUAAAAAGCUCUAAAAUACUUCAAUAGUAAUGAAUACUACCUUUUAUUAUUAUAAAUAGGAUAUAAA
This is a long non-coding RNA of Cotesia glomerata, 118 nucleotides long. RefSeq lists it as uncharacterized. Lineage: Eukaryota; Metazoa; Arthropoda; Insecta; Hymenoptera; Braconidae. The transcript is spliced from 3 exons. The record is from RefSeq and is a predicted model, not a curated record.